GAUGAACGCUAGCUACAGGCUUAACACAUGCAAGUCGAGGGGAAACGAUAGAGAAAGCUUGCUUUUUCUAGGCGUCGACCGGCGCACGGGUGAGUAACGCGUAUCCAACCUGCCCAUCACUUGGGGAUAACCUUGCGAAAGUAAGACUAAUACCCAAUGAUGUCUCUAGAAGACAUCUGAAAGGGAUUAAAGAUUUAUCGGUGAUGGAUGGGGAUGCGUCUGAUUAGCUUGUUGGCGGGGUAACGGCCCACCAAGGCGACGAUCAGUAGGGGUUCUGAGAGGAAGGUCCCCCACAUUGGAACUGAGACACGGUCCAAACUCCUACGGGAGGCAGCAGUGAGGAAUAUUGGUCAAUGGGCGAGAGCCUGAACCAGCCAAGUAGCGUGCAGGAUGACGGCCCUAUGGGUUGUAAACUGCUUUUAUAAGGGAAUAAAGUGAGCCUCGUGAGGCUUUUUGCAUGUACCUUAUGAAUAAGGACCGGCUAAUUCCGUGCCAGCAGCCGCCGCCG
RNAcentral lists this ribosomal RNA (508 nucleotides) under uncultured bacterium. RNAcentral's name for it is "partial 16S ribosomal RNA". It matches the Rfam family "Bacterial small subunit ribosomal RNA", at positions 28 to 523 of the family's 1533-position model. The record is from RNAcentral.